RNAcentral lists this ribosomal RNA (396 nucleotides) under uncultured Filosa. RNAcentral describes it as "partial small subunit ribosomal RNA". It matches the Rfam family "Eukaryotic small subunit ribosomal RNA", at positions 30 to 432 of the family's 1831-position model. The record is from RNAcentral. Lineage: Eukaryota; Cercozoa.
GCUUGUCUCAAAGAUUAAGCCAUGCAUGUUCAAGUAUAGCAAGUGUACAGUGAAACUGCGAAUGGCUCAUUAAAUCAGUUAUAAUUUAUUUGAUGGUGACUUACUACAUGGAUAACCGUAGUAACCUAGAGCUAAUACAUGCACAAAAUCCCGACUUCACGGAAGGGAUGUAUUUAUUAGAUAAAAAACCAAUCCGGCAACGGUGCUUGGUGAUUCAUAAUAACUGUUCGAAGCGCACGGCCUCGCGCCGGCGCUAGUUCAUUCAAAUUUCUGCCCUAUCAGCUUUCGACGGUAGUGUAGUGGACUACCGUGGCGCUAACGGGUGACGGAGAAUUAGGGUUCGGUUCCGGAGAGGGAGCCUGAGAAACGGCUACCACAUCCAAGGAAGGCAGCAGG